Catharus ustulatus (Swainson's thrush) is the source of this 1320-nucleotide RNA transcript. RefSeq lists it as uncharacterized. The transcript has 3 exons. The record is from RefSeq and is a predicted model, not a curated record. NCBI's taxonomy places the organism in Eukaryota, Metazoa, Chordata, Aves, Passeriformes, Turdidae.
UCCCAGCCAGCGCAGCAACAGCAAACUCGGGGGGUCCAAAAGAGCCCCCGCUAAAGCUGGGGUGACCCCCCCGUGAGCAUCUCCGAGCUCCGGGGCUUGGGGAGGACAGCACGGUGAUGAUGGCGAUGCCACCAGCACGGCAGCGCUGUCCCCGCUGGCACCGGGCCCUUCCCGCGGACACCGAGCCACGCUGCCAAAGGUGUCCCGGAGCCGCUCCCGAGCCUCUCCUGCUCCGGGUGAUGCCCCAGUUCACCUUCGCCUGUUUCUGUGGCCUCCACGGCUUCUGCAAGAUGAAGAGGAAGAAGGAAGAGGCGGGCGGGGGGCAGGAGACGGCGGUGUGAGGAGCAGCCCCCGCCUGUCCCCUCCUGUCCCCUCCUGUCCCCUCCUGUCCCUCGGAAUGUCACCCCGAGGAUGUCACCCGGGAGCCACAGUGACCCUGCCAGGACCCUGCCAGCACCGAGAAUUCCCUCCUGGUCAGCAAUUCCCAGCAGAGGGACCGGAAAAUUCCAAAAAAGAGGCCAGACCUUGUCCUUGCAGAUCCCAGAGCUGCAGGGUCUGUCCCUGCCUCCUCCCCUCCCCCUGGGACAAUCCCUGGCAUUUCCAGAAACUCGGCAUUUGCUCGUGCUUCAGGAAUUCCUUCCACCUUGGGAUUUUCCAUUCUGUCCUCCAGAACCGCCCGAGGGAUGCUGGAGCCGAUAAAUCCCGCGGAUAUCAGAGACAAUGGGGUGAACACCCAGCAAUUCCCGAGGAUUUUUCCCUCCUUUGGAGCUCUCAGAUUUCCUUUGGGAUGCAGGAAUGUGUGAGGUCCUUCCCAGCUCGGAUCCGCCUGGAAUUCCUCAAAUCCCCGUGGAUUCCCAGCGCUCCUGGAAGGAGCCUCAACCUCUGAAAGCGGAGCCACGCUCCCCAAAGAUGAAUUUAUUCGCACAGCAAUAAUUCUUUUUUAACCCCCCACACCCAGGAAAGGAUCCAACUUCCCUCGGAACUGGGAAAAAAAAAAACAAAAACCGAAUUUAAAAAACCUUUAAAAAAUCUUUUUCUCCCCAGAAAUCAAAGCUGUCCCUUCUCCUCUCCACAGGGACAAUUUUCUUCCAGUCUUCCUACAGGCCAAAAGAAUUUGUGGCUGCCCCAAAACUCGGCGUUUUUCCAAAUGUUAUCCCAAGACAAAGCUCCAGGUGGCCCAGGGAAGCUCCCAAAGCUUUGGGAAAACGCUGAUUUCAUUAUUUUCCCGUUUUUGCACAUCAGCAGAGCCUCCCCAGUUCCACCUUUGCAUCCUCAGCGCUGCCCUUGGCGAGGACCUUCGGACCAGCUCUGUGCCAAAAA